GAAGGAUCGUUAUCUUUGAACGAUGCGAAUGUUGGUCGCGUUACAACGCUUACCUUUAUCUGUCAAUAAGCAGACGACCUUAACGAUUACCUAUAUGUCCCACGUGUAUUGCGCAUCGGCUGCAACUAUUUCUGUGAUAUACUCGCGUGCUUCAACUGUGUGUUAUUUGCGAAACGAGAGCGUUAUUUGUCAGAAGAGAAUCGAUACGGUAAUGUCAAUAAGGAGCUGUACUAUUCUACUCUUUUGUUCCGCUUCAUUCGUUACACGGCCAUCGAAAAUAGACUGGAUUAUCUUCCUUCCUGUCCUGUGCUCAUUUCCGUCGACGUGUAUUUUACAGCUUAAGCUAUUAAAUCAUUUCGACAUAGACGGCAGAAUUUAACGAGCUUUUCAUCCCUUAGAAAUGUUUUCGAAAUUCUAUACCCCUCGUACAGGUAGCAAUAAUUAAAUUAGAAUUUUUAUUUUCAUUACAAUAAUCACCAAAGUUGCAACAACACUGCAACAAAGAAAAUGUAAACGUGAAUCGAGACAAAGUAGUUAAUCCGCGAACAAUAGAGAUUAAAUGCAACACACAAUCUUUUGUGUACAACACGAUUGAGAUUAAAUAGCUGACAAUGAGACAAUAUGCCACGUUGAUCUCCGUUUCUGCUUUAUCGAGAUCGAUCAUUUGGCUCACCAUUGUCGUGCACGGUGUGGGUGGGUCUAAUACGGUUGUAGUCGAUAAAAGGGAAAAAGGGUCGGGUUAAGAGAAAGAAACGAUCAGAGUGAAGGGAAACGGAAGAAAAUUGAAGAAACCUUGCCACCUUGUGACUCAUCGUUAGCCAAUAUUGAUAUUAGCAUUCCACUUUUUUUAUUUUUCUUUCUAAUUUCCAUCACAUCCAUCACUGUAGCGAGAUUCUUAAGUUACUCAUGGAUGACUAUACCAAAAGAUGAUACGCGAAAACGCAUCAGGCGCUCCAUUGAUUAAACCAUCUCUUACUAAUGGAAUUUUAGAAUUAUGUUAAUGUGAACUUGAUUAUUUAAAUCUUAAUGAAUAAAUUAUAACUCCACCCAACAGAAGGGUGGUAUUCGUCCAUGAUAGUAUCGUCAACAUUCAUCCAUUUACAGAUUGAUUUAUCGACUUGACGUGCAGAAUGAAACAAACAAACGAAAAAAGUCACCAUUGAAUAAAGAAAAACGUCAUCACAUAUAAUGAACACGACUCAUUGGCGCUACUAUCAGUUUUAUCUCUGGAUUUUCCUUCUCCUCCAUGACUUUCCUCCUUUCCUUUCUUUUUCUCUUUUUUUUCUGAAUAAAUGACAAACUGCAUUUCUUGGAAGGCAACUUUUUAUCUAUCAAACGAGUUCUUUCGACUAAUAUACGAUUCCGAAGAUCAGUUGUUUAUGCAAAAAUCAAAAGUUCAUCUAAAAUAAUGUUCUCAUUCUGAACGAUGCAUAGUAGAAUAAAAUCGACGAUGAAAAGUUACGUAAAGGGUAAAGGAAAUUGCAGGAAAACAUUGCAAAUACAAUGUUGAUAAUUGUACACGCUUCUGCAUAUACAAAUCGAUAACAGGUCAUGUGCAUAAAUUAAUAAGUAAUUAAUAAAUGACGACGUUGCAAUACGAUAUAUGGAAUUCGUAUAGAAUUGAAAGACGAUGAAUCCUCGACGAACGUCACAACCGGGCUACGGACAGGAAACACGAUAAUUAAUAUGAAAAGAUGACUCACCGAAUAAUCAAUCGAGAAAGGUGGACCUUUUGGGUGUCCAGUGUUCGCCAAUUCGAUCGGUAACGUGCGUAUGCGAUCCUUGAUCGAAAUGAGGGAUGGGUGCAAUCAAUGCAUUCAUUUAUACCGCGCGCUCGACGGCUAUUUCCGGCGCAACAAACGAACCACCGCACCGUUUCCGCCGGAGAAGCCAAGUCGAACGGAAAGAAACGGAUCCGGCCGUUGUCCAAGUUUUUUUCAAAGCUGUCCGCGAACGCGGUUUUUACGGAACUUCUGCCCCAAAUCCAUCCGAUAACGUCGCGAUAACGAUACGAGUCCCAUCCAGUAUUAUCUAAAAUUGGAGAAUACCAGAUUAUCCAUUCACUCGGCUGGUUUGCUGCCAAACACGCGUUACCACCAUCUGAAGUGUCAGUGUUGGCACUUGAUAAGCAUAGCACGUACGUACACGUAUUAGAAAUUUCACGGUAGGAUCGUAAAUCAAAUCGUCCGACUUUCGUUUCCGACGGUUUCGUGGCCACCGUGUUAUGUCGGAAAGGAAUAAACACGAUUCCUAAAAUUUUCCUCAAACUCACUUAUUGUCGCAACGAUUUUCAAGAAAUUUUAAUGAAAGUCGUUGGAACUUUGAGGUUCCAUAAAUUUUCCAUAGUAUUCGACGCGAGGCAAUAGUAAAUUUUUCCAGCGGUAAAUUAACUAAUUGGUCAUUCAAGAUUGCAGCAAUUACGAGUUGGAUUAUCACCGUGAACACGACAAUUAAACAAAACUUAUAAUAUCAUGAAAUUUGUUCUUGAUAUACGAAUUACGUUUACUCCGUCCCUUUUUUAGUCAUCGGUAUAUUUUGCUUUAUAAAUAGCUGGAAGAACGGAUAAUAGUUCGCUGAGAACGAUCUAAUGAAAGAAGAACAUAAAAUGAUCGUAAAUUUUCAGAAAUUCCUUUUGCACUGACGUCACAACUACUGCGGUUCUUAAGAUAUGAAACCGGAAUGGUUAAUUGAAAUAAAUAUUAUUCCCAUCAUACGUGCAUAAUAAACGCGUUAUUUGUUUGCGUACAUGAAUGAAAUUCGCUCCACAAGAUACGUGCAGUUCUGUUUUAACAUUCAUGUUUAAAUUUAUUGUUCAGUGAGUAAGCGGUUGAAAUUGAAAUGGAAUUUUUCUGAUAUUUCGAAGAUAAGAACACGUCUUUAAGAAUGUUUAACAAAUACGAAAAUGUACAGAGACUAUUUUUUGAAUUUAAUACAUUUAACCCACGAUUUACACGGUAGCUCGUUUCUGGAAAAGGUUCUGGUAUAAAGAGGGAUGACGCGCGCCCCGGAAGUGAAGGCGUUCGCCGGAAAGAUACAAUUCCACGAAAAGAAACCGACGACCUCAGAUUUGUUCCUACGUACGUUACAACGAAAACGAUUUGUAAGGAAAAAGCAAAAGCAUGCUUGGAACGCGUAUGUACGUACACAGUGACAGGGAACAGAAAUAAAAUAAACUGUAAGCUUCCUGAAGAUAGCGCUAGUCACCAUACGAUAUGACUUUAGACCACGUGUGUGCUCCCACAGAAGUGCAAAACGAACCAAUGUAUUCCGGAGUCGCGUUUAAAAGAAAAAGAAAAAAGAAAAUGUGUGUUUGCAGUAGUAUAUACGUCUCACGGUCAUCGUAUCGUAAGCGUACGUAACUGAAUAUUAUUAUGUUUAUCUCUCUCGAUAAGCUGCACGUACGAGAUCGAACGAAUCGAUUAAAAAGUAUGCAAUUGUCCGAUUAAACGGAUGUAACCGAAAGCGUACGAAUAUAUUUGUAAACAAUGAUAUCUUUUGUCGAAUCAAUUAACGAUUGUUCUGCUCGUCAAGUUUAAAUAAAGAAGAGAACUAUUUUUAGUAAUGGCA
Molecule: long non-coding RNA, 3567 nt
Organism: Osmia lignaria (orchard mason bee)
Lineage: Eukaryota; Metazoa; Arthropoda; Insecta; Hymenoptera; Megachilidae
Source: RefSeq, a predicted model, not a curated record